This 263-nucleotide ribosomal RNA is filed under the name uncultured bacterium. Its description in RNAcentral is "partial 16S ribosomal RNA". It matches the Rfam family "Bacterial small subunit ribosomal RNA", at positions 90 to 354 of the family's 1533-position model. The record is from RNAcentral.
UUCGAGUGGCGGACGGUGAGUAACGCGUGGGUAACCUGCCUUACACAGGGGGAUAACACCUGGAAACAGGUGCUAAUACCGCAUAAGCGCACAGGGCCGCAUGGCCCGGUGUGAAAAACUCCGGUGGUGUAAGAUGGACCCGCGUCUGAUUAGCUUGUUGGCGGGGUAGAGGCCCACCAAGGCGACGAUCAGUAGCCGGCCUGAGAGGGUGGACGGCCACAUUGGGACUGAGACACGGCCCAAACUCCUACGGGAGGCAGCAG